UACGAAGGGGGCUAGCGUUGUUCGGAAUUACUGGGCGUAAAGCGCACGUAGGCGGAUAUUUAAGUCAGGGGUGAAAUCCCGGGGCUCAACCCCGGAACUGCCUUGAUACUGGGUAUCUCGAGUCCGAGAGAGGUGAGUGGAAUUCCGAGUGUAGAGGUGAAAUUCGUAGAUAUUCGGAGGAACACCAGUGGCGAAGGCGGCUCACUGGCUCGGUACUGACGCUGAGGUGCGAAAGCGUGGGGAGCAAACAGG
Molecule: ribosomal RNA, 252 nt
Filed under: uncultured bacterium
Lineage: Bacteria
Description: partial 16S ribosomal RNA
Rfam family: Bacterial small subunit ribosomal RNA
Source: RNAcentral